GAGGAUGUGGCUCAGUAGUAGAGCUCCUGCCUUCCAUGUACAAGGCCCUGGGUUCGAGUCCCAGCACCACA
RNAcentral lists this transfer RNA (71 nucleotides) under Cavia porcellus (domestic guinea pig). It matches the Rfam family "tRNA". Rfam says of the family: Transfer RNA (tRNA) molecules are approximately 80 nucleotides in length. Their secondary structure includes four short double-helical elements and three loops (D, anti-codon, and T loops). Further hydrogen bonds mediate the characteristic L-shaped molecular structure. tRNAs have two regions of fundamental functional importance: the anti-codon, which is responsible for specific mRNA codon recognition, and the 3' end, to which the tRNAs corresponding amino acid is attached (by aminoacyl-tRNA synthetases). tRNAs cope with the degeneracy of the genetic code in two manners: having more than one tRNA (with a specific anti-codon) for a particular amino acid; and 'wobble' base-pairing, i.e. permitting non-standard base-pairing at the 3rd anti-codon position. Lineage: Eukaryota; Metazoa; Chordata; Mammalia; Rodentia; Caviidae. The record is from Rfam by way of RNAcentral.